Molecule: ribosomal RNA, 195 nt
Filed under: uncultured bacterium
Lineage: Bacteria
Description: partial 16S ribosomal RNA
Rfam family: Bacterial small subunit ribosomal RNA
Source: RNAcentral
CCUACGGGAGGCRGCAGUGGGGAAGAUUUAACAAAGGGGGCACUCCGGAUUCUUGUUCUCAGCCCGCAAGCAGAUGGCACCCUUGUUGUGAGACUCUUUAAGCUAGGAGGAGUGUAAAACUCUAACUACUCUUACAUAAAUGACGGUACUCGCAGAAUAAGCUCCGGCUAACUUCGUGCCAGCAGCCGCGGUAAU